CUCCUUGCGCAGGGCGCCCAUCACGUCCAGAUUGAAGGCGACAGCCCCUGGGAAGAGCAGUCCGGCAAGCAGGGAGCCAAGAAGAGUCCGGCAGUGGCAACGGCUCUGCUAGACACAUACAUCGUCAGCGGUCAGAGAAGCAGAGGAAAAGACUGGCGAGAAGAAAGAAAAACUCAGCAGGCCUGGGGAGGGGAACAAAGGAGGCAGGUAGAAAGAAAACUGAAAGAGAAAAGAGAUGGUGAAAGAAGGGUAAGAGUUUGAUCAACAAGGAUGGAAUGAAGGGAGAAAACAAGGAAAAGACUGAGGGUGAUAUAGGAAGAGGAAAUUAAGCUGGGGGGAAAGCAUGGACUGUCAAAGAAGACCAAAAAUGUGAGAGAUUGGCCCCAAGAGGCAGAGAGAUGGGAAAGAUGUCUCCGGCUUCCAGAUCCUUCCCAGAACCGUACAUUUCCUACCCUCCAAAGGGGAAGGGAUUGGAGGGGACAGGGUCCUGCGCUGGCCCAGGCAGGAUCGGGGUGGGGCUUCCCAGGGAUGUCCACAGGGACUUGUCCCUCUGCCUCUCCCUUCCCCCCAGGCUGAGACAAAGGCAAAGGGGGGGGAGGACAUUUUCCAACUGUGCUAUUUAUAACUCUAAUCCAGAAAUGGGGCCAAGAAGAGAGAUAGGAAAUAAUUUGACACAACUGGAACCUCACUUGCUGCCACAUCCCGUUCCUAGUUCUCUUUCUUACUGGGUGUUGGUCUUGGGUAUAUCCAUCUGUCCAUUUUUCUCCCUUCUCUCUCUCACCCUCUGGUUUUGUCUCAUCCCCAGCUCUGUCUUUAUCCCCCUUCUUGUCUCUGUCACUUGGAAUCUUUCUAGACUAUUUCUCAAUGUCUCUAAUGUUUCCUUUGCCCCCCAAACACUAUCAUAUCCUUAAGACUCUCUGUUCUCCCUCCCUGUCUUCAAAGCUCCAAUAUGUGUUCUCCCUAAUUCCUCUUCCCAUGUUCCCUUUGUCUCUCUUACUUCUUCUUCCAGGAUUAUACGUAAAAUU
This is a long non-coding RNA of Balaenoptera musculus (blue whale), 1025 nucleotides long. RefSeq lists it as uncharacterized. The record is from RefSeq and is a predicted model, not a curated record. NCBI's taxonomy places the organism in Eukaryota, Metazoa, Chordata, Mammalia, Artiodactyla, Balaenopteridae. The transcript has 2 exons.